UAUAUCUAUUUUGUUAGAUCAUGUUACAACAUGGGCCCAAAACUGAGAUAGACCCAAAAAUCUAAGGAAAUGCCUACCGUUGAAACCUUUUUGAGGUCUACUAAGAUGUUUAUAUGCCAUCCAUGCCAUUCUUACUAGAUGGAUUAAAAAAAGGACUUGAAUAUGGGCUCACAAAUGUUUCAAUGGUGGAUGUUCAAUUCUCAUUGUUUCCCAUCGUGUACUUACUUGUGUUUUAGAUCUGCCUCAUUUUUUAACCCAUAUGUGACAUGAUCUGGCAAAACGGAUGGAUGGGAUGGAUUUCUCACAAAUAUAACGGUGGGCCUUAGCUAGCUUUAUAUCUUAGGCAAUCCACACCCAUCCAAAUUGACAGCCCACUAGAAAUUAAAAUUAAUCCAACAAUCUUAGCCUUCUGAUUACUCUCAUUGAAUUUGGGAAGCUGACCUUUUACUUUUCAAACAUGAAUUUGAUGAUUCCAUUCAGGUUAGGAACAUUUUACAGUGCAAUUUUCGGUUUAUGCUCCAUCAAAAGCGGGCCAUGCAAUCGGAUGGUUUGGAUUGACAUAAAUGUAUGCCAUGUGUACGGUAGAUGAUGCACCACGACUUAAAAAUAGCAGUAAACUAUCACCAUAUUAUUCAGAUUAAUUAGGAACGGUACUAGAAGAAUAUCUCUUUAACAGCAACAGCUCCGUCACUCUGUCUCAAUUCUUCCCAUCACAUCCCUUGUCCUAUUCAAACAAGAGGUUUUAUAAGCCCAUACGCGGCACAGCCCUGCCCAUCUACACGUACCAAUAUGUCACACGUGUUCAGGAUCCCACCUCUCUAUUAGUUGGUCCACACAUUUUAUAUAUCCAUACAUAAAAACCAGUCCCUUUCACUUCCAGCUCUGGAACAGUGCAAAAUAAACAACCGUUAGGACAUCUCUUUAUAGCCGUCCACUUAUUUUGUACACCUUUGAGAACCUGAGAAGUUGAAGGGCUUGAAUUUUAUAAGGACUAAAGAUAUAAUUAGUGUGGCCCACCUGAUGGAAAGUUUGGAUAUCUCACACAUGUGACGUACCAUCACUUUUGAUUGCAUGUAGAUGGGAAGGGCUCCAGACGCGUGUGUACAUAGCAAACCAUUUCGAAAAACACCCCAACCUUCUUUAAAUUCCCAUUUCAUCGUCUCAUCUCUCACUUCUCGUCUAAAAGCAUCCAAACACCUCCAACUUUAGAGGUUUUAUGGCUUACUCAAGAAAGAGAAACUACCCAAAUGGGCUUACUACACUGGUUAUUCUCAUAUUUUUCUUGACAUUUUUACCCUUCAUAUCAGUUGGAUUGGUUUUCUCAAGCACUGGUGAGAACUUCAAGCAAAGGAAGCAAGUGAUAGGUUCAAGGCCUCCUUUGUGUACAAACAAGUGCAUGAGUUGCAAGCCUUGCAUGGCUACUUUGGUAGUUCCUCCACAUCAAAGGAGUCGUGCCGCAUCAAUAUCACAAGAACAAGAUGAAAGCUAUUAUCCCCUCUCAUGGAAAUGUAAAUGUGGGAAUAAAGUCUUCCAACCCUGAUAUUUAUAUCCUUUUACUUGUUAGAGACACUAAUAUGAGAAAUGUCCAAGCCUGCCCAUGUGUAGUUAAAGCUUUAAGGCUCUACUUGUUUAGGAAGAGUGUCAUUAUUACAAUUUUAUCACCGCCAAAUCAAACACAAGUUCAAGAAUUUGUAAUCAUUGUACUUUUUCAUAACUCUAUUGUGAAAAUCUCGAAUUAGAUAAUGACAUUAGUGUAUCACUAUGAUAAUU
Molecule: long non-coding RNA, 1770 nt
Organism: Magnolia sinica
Lineage: Eukaryota; Viridiplantae; Streptophyta; Magnoliopsida; Magnoliales; Magnoliaceae
Exons: 2
Source: RefSeq, a predicted model, not a curated record